Molecule: long non-coding RNA, 7494 nt
Filed under: Hordeum vulgare
Lineage: Eukaryota; Viridiplantae; Streptophyta; Magnoliopsida; Poales; Poaceae
Description: long non-coding RNA (HVUL_LNC001245)
Source: RNAcentral
ACCAAUAUAAUAAUCAUCAUGCUCAUCCACCAGACCUAAAAUCUCGUAAUCCACGAAACAUCUCUGAUUAUCAUCUCAAGACACAAUCGCCUAACUAAAUCCAACUAACUAAAUCCAAACAUGUUCAAUAUCACAAUCACCUAAUUAAAUCCAUAUUAUUCAAGAUUAAUUAAUCCACCAAACAUCUUUGACUAUCUACUCAAGAUCACAAUCACCUAUAUAUAUUGAAAACUCUCGUAAUCCAUCAUCAAAUUUGUUCAAGAUAACAAUCGCCUAACUAAAUCCAAAUUGUCCCAUGUUUACUAAAGAAGUCACUACUUUCUUGAGAUUGAUGUUUCUUCUACCUCUAAUGGCUUCUUUAUUUCCCAAGAGAAGUAUAUUCAGGAUCAACAUUAUUGGGACUGCUAUGGAGCUCAACAUCCACCUUUGUGUCCACCUCCGCUCCCUGGAAAUCCAUAUGGGCGUCCAUUGCCUGGCGGCAGGUUGUUAUGUGUGCUGUCUUGAUCCCACAUCCCGUGUUCCCUUGCUGAACGACACCAUAACCGCACACUCAAGCUACCACCAAUGGCGAGCAAGAGCUUGGACAAUUGGCGCAUACCUGGAUUUUAAACACGGGACGCGCCCGAGAACACGACGCUACCUAUCGUCAAGGCCAAGGGCGCACAGUAGGAGAACGUGGGAUGCUUAAUCAAGUGCGUGAUACAAAGCCGCAAACAGUACAAGGACAUCAAGCCAGAUCAAAGGGGAACAGAGAGUGCACAGGCACGAGGGAUGCUGGACAAAGUCCAUCUGCUGCCACUAUCCCCUGUCUCUCUACCUCUCUUGCCUUGUUUACCAAUUGUUUUCGGUAGUGGCAUCAUCGCCUUGACUCGCUCGUGUGGCCCUCAUCUCUAUCCACCAAUAUGAUAAUCAGCAUGCUCAUCUACUAAACCUCGAUUCACAUAAUCCACCGGCCAUCUUUUACUAGCUCCUGAAAAUCAUAAUCACCUAACUAAAUCCAACCAGAUCACAAUCACCGAACUAAAUUAAAAUUGUUCCAAACUAAAUAAAAUAUCUUUUUAUCCAACAAUAUAAUAAUCAUCAUGCUCAUUUAUUAAACCUAAAAUCUCAUAAUCCACCAAACAUAUUCGAUUAUCUUCAUAGGACACAAUCACCUAACUAAAGGCAACUAAAAUCUCAUAAAUCAAAGAGAUUUUUGGUUAAAGAUAACAGUCACCUAAUUAAAUUCAAUUUUUUUCAAACUAAAUUAAAUAUCUAUUUAUGCACCAAUGUAAUAAUCACCAUUCUCAUCUACUAAACCUAAAAUCUCAUAAUCCAACAACCAUCAUUGGCUAUAUUCUCAAGACAGAAUCACCUAACUAAAUACACCUAAUCUCAUGAUCACUCGUCAAAUUAAAUAUCUGAUUAUCUACCAAUAUAAUAAUCACCAUGCUCAUUUCCAUACCUAAAAUCUCAUAAUCCACCAACAUUUUGACUUUCUCAAGACACAAUCACCUAACUAACUUCACCUAAAAUCAAAUAAAUCACCAAAAAUUUUGGUUGAAUAUCACAAUCACCGAACUAAAUCCAAAUUGUUCAAGAUUAAUUAAUCCANNAAACAUCUUUGACUAUUCCCUCAAGAUCUCAAUCAACUAAUUAGAUACGUUUAAAAUCUCCUAUUUCACCAUGAAAUUUGGUUAAAGAUCACAAUCGCCUAACUAAAUCCAAAUUAGGCCAAGUUUACUAAUAAUCCAUCUAUCCAUCAAUAUAAUAACCACCAAGCUCACCUACUAGACAUAAAUUCUCACAUAAUCCACCGAACAUCUUUGACUAUCUCACCAAGAUCAUAGUCAACUAAAUAAAUCCAACCCAAACAUCAAAAUACACUGUGAAUUUGGUUAAAAGUUCACGAUCACCUAACUAAAUUCGAAUUGUUUCAAACUAAAUGCAAGGUCAGUUUAUCCACCAAUAUAAUAAUCACCACGCUCAUGUACUAGGCUUAAGAUCUCAAAAUCCACCAAACAUCUUUGACCAUCUUCUCAAGAUCAUAAUAACUUAUCUAAAUCCACAUAAAUCAUCAUGAAACUCGAUUCAAUAUCGCAAUAGCCUAACUAAAUUCAAAUUGUUCAAGAUUAAUUAAUCCAUCGAAUAUCUUUGAGCAUCUUCUCAAGAUGAAAAUCAACUGACUAAAUUCAUCUAGAAUCUCAUAAUCCAUCAUGAAAUUCGGUUCAAGAUCACAAUCGCCUGACUAAAUCCAAUUUUUCUUAAGUUUAUUAAAAAAAAUACUUACCAAUAUAAUAACCACCAAGCUCACCUACUAGACCUAAAUUCACAUAAUCCACCAAACAUCUUAUACCAACUCGUCAAGAUCACAAUCACCUAACUAAAUCCAACCAAAAACUUAUAAUCCAUCGUGAAAUUUCAUUUAAGAUUGCAAUCACCUAACUAAAUCCAAAAUCUUUCAAAUACAAUUAAAGAUAUACUUAACAACCAACAUAAUAAUCACCAUGCUCAUCUAUCAUACCUAAAAUCUCAUAAUCCACCGAACAUUUUAGACUAUCUUCUCAAGAUUAAAUCACGUAACUAAAUCCACCUAAAAUCUCAUAAUUCAUCAUGAAAUACAGUUCAUAUCACAAUCAUCUAACUAAAUCCAAAUUGUCCAAGAAUUAAUCCACUAAACAUUUUCUACUAUCUCCUCAAGAUCACAAUGAACUAAAUAAAUGCAUCAAAAUCUCGUAAUCCACCAUGAAAUUUGGUCCAAGAUCACAAUAUUCUAACUAAAUCCAAGUUGCUUCAAGUUUAUUAAAGAUCCAUUUAUCCACCAAUAUAGUAACCACCAUGCUCAUUUAGUAGACAUAAAUUUUCAUAAUCCACCAAACAUCUUUGACUAUCUCGUCAAGAUCACAAUCACCUAACUAAAUCUCCACUUCAUCUCCAUUUAUUAAAACCAGAAUCAUCCCAUGGGCAUUAGUGACACCCUUGAGUUUUUAUAAAACAUCUAUGAGUAACAAAGAUUCUUCCCGAGUACUAUGAUUUACACGACUAGCAUGGCUAAGCAUUACUAUUAAACUUGGACAUAUGAACCACAUUUAUUUGCGACCACUACAUGGUUAGGAAGGAGGGGUAUUAAGAAUGUCAAAGGAGGGUGUCAAUAUCUUUUACAAGCUCGUAAAGACCCCAAUCACCCAACUAAAUCCAAGCAAAACCUCAUAAUCCAUCAUAAAAUUAGGUCAAAAUAUGACAAUCACCUAACUAAAUCCAUUUUUUCCAAAUUAAAUUAAAUAUUUGUUUAUCCAACAAUAUAAUAAUCCUUAUGCUUAUCUUGUAGAAAAAAAAUCUCAUAAUCCACCAAACUUCCUCGACUAUCUUCUGAAGACGGAAUCACCUAACUAAAUCCAACUAAAAUCUCAUAAAUCACCGAGAAAUUUGGCUCAAUGUCGCGAUCACCUAACUAAAUCCAAAUUGUUCAAAAUUAGUUAAUCCACCGAACAACUUUGACAUCUCCCAAAGAUCACAAUCUACUAACUAAAUCCAUUGAAAAUCUCGUAAUCCACCGUGAAAUUUGUUCAAGAUCACAAUUGCCUAACUACAUGCAGAUCGGUCCAUGUUUACUAAAGAUCCAUUUAUCCACCAAUAUAAUAACCACCGUGGCCCCUUACUAGACCUAAAUUAGCAUAUAUCAUCAAUCAUCUCUGACUAUCUCUUUAAGAUUACAGAUAUCUAACUAAAUCCAACAAAACCUCAAAAUCCCAUCAUGAAUUUGGCUGGAAAAAAACAAUCACCUAACUAAAUCAAAAUUGUUCCAAACUAAAUUGACGACCUGUUUAUCCACCAAUAUAAAAUCACCAUUCACAUCUUCUAUACCUAAAAUCUCGUAGUCAAGCAAACAUCUUUGACUAUAUUCUCAAGACACAAUCACCUAACUAAAUCCUCGUAAAAUCGCAUAAUCCAGCGUGAAGUUCGGUUUAGUAUCACGUCCACCUAAGUAAAUUCAUAUUGUCCAAGAUUAAUUAAUCCACCAAACAUCUUUAGAGUAUCUCCUUAAAAUCGCAAUCAACUAACUAAUCCAUCAAAAAUCUCAUAAUCCAUAAUAAAAUUUGGUUCAAGGCCAGAAUCGCCUAAUUAAAUCCAAAUAGUUUCAAAUUUAUUAAAGACUCAUUUAUUUACCAAUAUAAUAAUCAACAUGCUCAACUAUUAGACUAAAUUCACAUAAUCCAACGAAUAUAUUUUACUAACUCGUCGAAAUCAAAAACACCUAACUAAAACCAACCAAAACGCCCACCAUAAAAUUAGGUUAAAAGAUCACAAUCACCUGACUAAAUCCAAAUUGUUUCAAACUAAAUUAAAUAUAUGUUUAUCCACCAAUAUAAUAAUCAUCAUGCUCAUCUACUAGACCUAAAAUCUCAUAAUCCACCAAACAUCUCUGAUUAUCAUCUCAAGACACAAUCACCUAACUAAAUCCAACUAAAAUCUCAUAAAUCACAAAAAAAUAGUUCAAUAUCACAAUCACCUAACCAAAUCCAUAUUGUUCAAGAUCAAUUAAUCCACCAAACAUUUUUGACUAUCUCCUCAAGAUCACAAUCACCUAAAUCCAUUGAAAAAUCUCCUAGUCCAUGCAAUUUGUUUAAGAUCACAAUCGCCGAACUAAAUCCAAAUUGUUCCAUGUUUACUAAAGAAGGCGCUACUUUCUUGGAGAUUGAAGUUUCUUCUCUCUAAUGGCUUCUUUAUUUCCUAAGAAAAGCAUAUCUAGGAUCUUCUCACGCAUGCUGCUUUGAUGAGCACACUGCUGAGACCCCUAUGAAGCUCAACAUCCACUUUUGUGUCCACCUCCGCUCCUUGUAAAUCUGGAUGUGUAUCCGUUGUCUGGUGGCGGGUUGCUAUGUGUGUUGUCUUGAUCCCACAUCCCGUGUUCCCUUGCUGGUCGACACCGUAACCGCACGCUCAAGCACCACCAAUGGCGAGCAAGAGCUUGGACAAUUGGCGCAUACCUGGAUUUUAUACACGGGACGCGCCCGAGAACACGGCGCUACCUAUCGUCAAGGCCAAGGGCGCACCGUAGGAGAACGUGGGAUGCUUAAUCAAGUGCGUGACACAAAACCGCAAACAAGACAAGGACAUCAAGCCGGAUCAACGGGGAACAAAGAAUGCACGGGAACAUGGGAUGUUGGAUAAAGUCCAUCUGCUGCCACUAUCCUAGUCUCUCCACCUCUCUUGCCUUGUUUAUCAGCUAUUUUCAGUAGUGGCAUCAUCGCCUUGAGUCACUUGUGUGGCUCUCAUCUCUAUCCACCAAUAUAAUAAUCAGCAUGCUCAUCUACUAAACCUAGAUUCGCAUAAUCCACCGUCCAUCUUUUACUAGCUCGUCAAAAUCAUAAUCACCUAACUAAAUCCAACCAAAACCUUGUAAUCCACCGUAAAAUUAGGUUAAAAGAUCACAAUCACCGAACUAAAUCCAAAUUGUUCCAAACUAAACCAAAUAUAUGCUUAUCCAUCAAUAUAACAAUCAUCAUGCUCAUUUAUUAGACCUAAAAUCUCAUAGUCCACCAAACAUAUUUGAUUAUCUUCAUAGGACACAAUCACCAUUCUCAUCUACUAAACCUAAAAUCUCAUAAUCCAACAACCAUCAUUGGCUAUAUUCUCAAGACACAAUCACCUAACUAAAUCCACCUAAUCUCAUGAUCCCUCGUGAAAUUUGGUUCAGUGACACAACCACCUUAUUAAAUCCAAAUUGGUCCAGAUUAAUUCAUCCACCAAACAUCGUUGAUUAUCUUCUCAAGAUCACAAUGAAAUAACUAAAGCCAUCAAAGAUCUCAUAAACCACCAUAAAAUUUUAUUCAACAUCACAACCGCCUAACUAAAUCCAAUUUUUUCCAAGUUUAUUAGAAGAAUAUUUAUUUAUCAAUAUAAUAACCAGCAUGCUCACCAACUAAACAUAAAUUCACAUAAUUCACCAAACAUCUUUUACUAGCUCGUCAAGAUCACAUCCACCUAACUAGAUCUUAACUCUUUAAAACUAAAUUAAAGAUAUGUUUAUCCAUCAAUAUAAUAGUCACCAUGCCCAUUUACCAUACCUAGAAAUCUCGUAAUCCACCAAACAUGUUUUACUAUCUUCUCAAUUUUAAAUCACCUAACCAAAUCCACCUAAAAUCUCAUAAAUCACCGAAAAAUUUGGUUCAACAUCACAAUCCACUAGAGAUAUUAACCCAUGGGACAUCUUUGAAUAUCUUAUUAAGAUCACAAUCACCUAAGUAAAUCCAGCCAAAACCUCAUAAUCCAUCCUAAAUUUAGGUUAAAGAUCACAACACCUAACUAAAUCUAAAUUGAUCCGAACUAAAUUAAAUAUCUGAUUAUCUACCAAUAUAAUAAUCACCAUGCUCAUUUCCAUACCUAAAAUCUCAUAAUCCACCAACAUUUUGACUUUCUCAAGACACAACCGCCUAACUAAAUUCACCUAAAAUCAAAUAGAUCACCAAAAAAUUUGGUUGAAUAUCACAAUCACCGAACUAAAUCCAAAUUGUUCAAGAUUAAUUAAUCCANNAAACAUCUUUGACUAUUCCCUCAAGAUCUCAAUCAACUAAUAAGAUACGUUUAAAAUCUCCUAUUUCACCAUGAAAUUUGGUUAAAGAUCACAAUCGCCUAACUAAAUCCAAAUUAAGCCAAGUUUACUAAAACUCCAUCUAUCCAUCAAUAUAAUAAUGACCAUGCUCAUUUACUAGACAUAAAUUCUCACAUAAUCCACCGAACAUCUUUGACUAUCUCACCAAGAUCAUACUCAACUAAAUAAAUCCAACCCAAACAUCAAAAUACAUUGUGAAUUUGGUUAAAAGUUCACGAUCACCUAACUAAAUUUGAAUUGUUUCAAACUAAAUGGAAGGUAAGUUUAUCCACCAAUAUAAUAAUCACCACGCUCAUGUACUAGGCCUAAAAUCUUAAAAUCCACCGAACAUCUUUGACCAUCUUCUCAAGAUCAUAAUAACUUGUCUAAAUCCACAUAAAUCAUCAUGAAACUCUAUUCAAUAUCGCAAUAGCCUAACUAAAUUUCAAUUGUUCAAGAUUAAUUAAUCCAUCGAAUAUCUUUGAGCAUCUUCUCAAGAUGAAAAUCAACUGACUAAAUUCAUCUAGAAUCUCAUAAUCCAUCAUGAAAUUUAGUUCAAGAUCACAAUCGCCUAACUAAAUCCAAAUUUUCUUAAGCUUAUUAAAAAAUUACUUAUUCACCAAUAUAAUAACCACCAAGCUCACCUACUAGACCUAAAUUCACAUAAUCCACCAAACAUCUUAUACUAACUCGUCAAGAUUACAAUCACCUAACUAAAUCCAACCAAAACCUUAUAAUCCAUAGUGAAAUUUGAUUUAAGAUUGCAAUCACCUAACUAAAUCCAAAAUCUUUCAGAUACAAUUAAAGAUAUAUUUAACAACCAACAUAAUAAUCACCAUGCUCAUCUAUCAUACCUAAAAUCUCAUAAUCCACCGAACAUUUUAGACUAUCUUCUCAAGAUGAAAUCACGUAACUAAAUCCAC